Molecule: ribosomal RNA, 440 nt
Filed under: uncultured bacterium
Lineage: Bacteria
Description: partial 16S ribosomal RNA
Rfam family: Bacterial small subunit ribosomal RNA
Source: RNAcentral
CCUACGGGUGGCUGCAGUGGGGAAUAUUGCACAAUGGGGGAAACCCUGAUGCAGCGACGCCGCGUGAAGGAAGAAGUAUUUCGGUAUGUAAACUUCUAUCAGCAGGGAAGAAAAUGACGGUACCUGACUAAGAAGCCCCGGCUAACUACGUGCCAGCAGCCGCGGUAAUACGUAGGGGGCAAGCGUUAUCCGGAUUUACUGGGUGUAAAGGGAGCGUAGGCGGUGCAGCAAGUCAGAAGUGAAAGCCCGGGGCUCAACGUGGGAACUGCCUUUGAAACUGGCAAACUGGAGUGUGUGAGAGGAUAGUGGAAUUCCAGGUGUAGGAGUGAAAUCCGUAGAUAUCUGGAGGAACAUCAGUGGCGAAGGCGACUAUCUGGCACAUAACUGACGCUGAGGAGCGAAAGCGUGGGUAGCAAACAGGAUUAGAUACCCCUGUAGUC